RNAcentral lists this ribosomal RNA (301 nucleotides) under uncultured bacterium. RNAcentral describes it as "partial 16S ribosomal RNA". It matches the Rfam family "Bacterial small subunit ribosomal RNA", at positions 509 to 807 of the family's 1533-position model. The record is from RNAcentral.
CAGCAGCCACGGUAAUACGAAGGGGGCUAGCGUUGCUCGGAAUGACUGGGCGUAAAGGGCGCGUAGGCGGCGAUCAAAGUCAGGCGUGAAAUUCCUGGGCUCAACCUGGGGGCUGCGUUUGAUACUUGGUUGCUAGAGUGAGGAAGAGGGUCGUGGAAUUCCCAGUGCAGAGGUGAAAUUCGUAGAUAUUGGGAAGAACACCAGUGGCGAAGGCGGCUCACUGGACCGACACUGACGCUGAGGCGCGAAAGCGUGGGGAGCAAACAGGAUUAGAUACCCCAGUAGUCCCUGUCUCUUAUAC